RNAcentral lists this ribosomal RNA (332 nucleotides) under uncultured bacterium. RNAcentral describes it as "bacterial SSU rRNA". It matches the Rfam family "Bacterial small subunit ribosomal RNA", at positions 568 to 898 of the family's 1533-position model. The record is from RNAcentral.
CGCGUAGGCGGCAUUGCAAGUCGGAUGUGAAAUCCCCGGGCUUAACUCGGGAAUUGCAUCCGAAACUGCUUUGCUUGAGUCCUGGAGGGGGUAGUGGAAUUCCCAGUGUAGCGGUGAAAUGCGUAGAUAUUGGGAGGAACACCGGUGGCGAAGGCGGCUACCUGGACAGUGACUGACGCUGAGGCGCGAAAGCUAGGGGAGCGAACGGGAUUAGAUACCCCGGUAGUCCUAGCCGUAAACGAUGGGCACUUGGUGUUGGGGGUAUUGAGUCCCCCGGUGCCGGAGCUAACGCGUUAAGUGCCCCGCCUGGGGAGUACGGUCGCAAGACUGAA